UCCGACAACCGUACCACAUUGAAAGCACCGGUUCUCGUCCGAUCACCGCAGUUAAGCAACAUUGGGCCCGGUCAGUACUUGCAUGGUUGAAUACCGGGUGUUGCCGGCU
RNAcentral lists this ribosomal RNA (109 nucleotides) under Schistosoma mansoni. The record is from RNAcentral. Lineage: Eukaryota; Metazoa; Platyhelminthes; Trematoda; Strigeidida; Schistosomatidae.